Long non-coding RNA from Mauremys reevesii (Reeves's turtle), 1264 nucleotides. RefSeq lists it as uncharacterized. The record is from RefSeq and is a predicted model, not a curated record. The transcript is spliced from 3 exons. Lineage: Eukaryota; Metazoa; Chordata; Testudines; Geoemydidae.
AGCUGGGGGGGGAAGCGGGCACGCGGUGCGCUCAGGGGAGGAGGCGGAGCGGAGGUGGAGUGACGGUGACUCUGGAUCCAGACACGGCUCAUCCCCAGCUCGCCCUGUCUGAGGAUCGGAGACAUGUGAGAUGGGGACACGCCCGGCAGGAUCUGCCCGACAAUCCUGAGCGAUUUGACACUGGAUCAGUCAUAACCCUGAGAGGGGGGAGGGGGAGCAGAUGUGAUUUUUGAAGAUAGUCAUGGAAUUUUUUUUCUCCUGAACUGGUUGUGUCACUGCACUCUAAUGAGGAUAUGCAUGUAUGUCACUCUGGGUUUGUCUACACUGCAAUGUAAGCCCAAGGGUUUUGGGUCUGGAGGCAGCUGGCCCAUGUCGGAGAACCCUGGGCUUGAGCAUCUAUACUGGUUCUUAACCCUACAUUAAGACAUUUCUAACCUAGGCUCAAAUCUGGGGCUCUGGUGUCCACACUGCAGCAUGUAGAUCUGAGUCCAACCAACCCUAGCCCAGAUUCCGACCUGAAAUGUGGCCGCUGUGGCCCUUUGAGCAUGUUACAGUGCAGCGAAACUUUUCUGCCCACCCUUCUUGUUACAGGAAGUUGGAACAGCCCGCCAACACAGAGUGCCGAGGAGUGAUUUUGGUCUGUGUGUGCCAAGCUACCAGAGCCAGCAACAUGGAGAAGGCACCUUUUGAAGAAAUCCUCUCGCUUGCACUUUCACUCCUGCAUCAGAAAAAGGACAGAGCUUCCUUGAAGUGCUGGUGAACAUUUGAGAGGACUUUUCUGCCCCACCAAAGGUACCUGAUGGACUGUAUGAUGGAGCAGGAGGAGAAGGAGGACCCUGGCAUGGCAGACUCACACUGGCCUAUGCUGCUCAGUAGAACUGGCAGAGCUGCUGGUAUUCCCUAGGUAGACUGGCACAGGGCCACAAGCACAGACUGGUGAGAUCCCAUCAGCCUGCAGACCUGGGAUGCCCAGCACACAGUCCGGAGCUCAUGCAGGAAAAAAAGGUGCUGCUCCUUUAAACAACAAACAGCUUGAAAGAAAGAGAGAGAAAAGAAAAUACCGAACAGAAAGAACAGGCUUUCAAAUACAUGCUAUAUUUACAGUCAGGCAAUGUGAGAAUUCCAAACAAUUCAAGGAUAGUGUAAUAAUCAGAACACAGAGAAGAGAGUGUCCAAAACCUGCAAGAAUAAUUUAAGGCCUCAAACUAGUUUUUUUCAUGAACAAAGGGACUGAGUUAAGAAAACACAAUCACUUUCCAUAAUA